Molecule: long non-coding RNA, 424 nt
Filed under: Brassica napus (rape)
Lineage: Eukaryota; Viridiplantae; Streptophyta; Magnoliopsida; Brassicales; Brassicaceae
Description: long non-coding RNA (BNAP_LNC013923)
Source: RNAcentral
UGAGAGAAGAGAGAAAAGAGAAAGAGGGAAGAAAGGGAUCAGAUAAGACUACCAGUGUGUUCAGAAACUUGCUUGAGUAAGAGUCCAUUUGUCUUUUGAUCGAUACUCCCUAUAAGAUUAAGAGAAUGAAAUGAUUUACAGAAGAUUAAGGAACAGAAUGAGAGAUUAUGAAGAGAUUACACUAGAAUCAUGAUUAAGAGAGUAUGAACUUAGAGAGAUAAACUCAGAACUGUGUAAUCUUUCAUUAAGGACAUGAGUUACAAUAUAUAGUGUGAGAACAUAAGGGUUUUCAGAUUCGAAGGUAAGCUAAAGCAUGUGAAGUCAAUAUGGGAAGGAUAAGCUCAUUUGGACCGGCCAAUUAGCUUCUCCACAUGCGCGGAGCAUCUAGCAUCUUGGACCAAGAUGCUCUUGCCUUUCCAGCUGU